This 273-nucleotide ribosomal RNA is filed under the name uncultured prokaryote. RNAcentral describes it as "partial 16S ribosomal RNA". It matches the Rfam family "Bacterial small subunit ribosomal RNA", at positions 524 to 796 of the family's 1533-position model. The record is from RNAcentral.
UACGAAGGGGGCUAGCGUUGUUCGGAAUGACUGGGCGUAAAGGGCGCGUAGGCGGCGCAUCAAGUCGGGCGUGAAAGCCCCGGGCUCAACCUGGGAACUGCGUUCGAGACUGGUGUGCUAGAGUUCGGGAGAGGAGAGUGGAAUUCCCAGUGUAGAGGUGAAAUUCGUAGAUAUUGGGAAGAACACCAAUGGCGAAGGCAGCUCUCUGGACCGAUACUGACGCUGAGGCGCGAAAGCGUGGGGAGCAAACAGGAUUAGAAACCCUUGUAGUCC